UUGAGACAAAACAGACCGUUUCUUCAACAUGUCGAACGUUGAUACAAUGUCCCCGACACCUGGGUGAUUGUCUUAUAUUAGCGAUCGAUGAUUGGAGCGACUGAUUGGAAGGUGGAAAUGAAGAAUUUUUAUGAGUAACAGAUCGCUGGGAUCAGAACACAUUUAACGAGAGAAAACGAGAUGCAAGAGGAAAUCGGAUGAGGAAAGAAGAACGGGAAAUAUUUUAUUAUUGCGUUUAUUCCACUGCAUUAUUCCCACAUACGUGCUUGAUGAUGCUCGAGACAAAUGCAAACGUAUAAUUGAUCGAUAAAAAGCGACGUGAAAAUAGAUACAAAGCCACAGAAGGCAUUGAAAAAGAGAAGCGAACGGAAUUUUAUUUGUAUCCUUUAUUAUUGUAUUUUUCUGCUGCGCUUUUAAUUAACAGCCACAUCAUUGUGUAACAAACAUGAACGUCAUCAUGUAAAUUGUCUCGAAUCGCCUGAUAUUUUUGCUCCACUCGCACGGAUAGAUUUUGUAUUCGUCGUUUCUGCCAAUGUGACAAAUUCGUCUUGGAAAACAGCGAUAUAUUUAAAGGAUCCGCGGUGUUCCGUUUCACCUGUUUGCGCUGUCAAUACAUCAACGAACGAACGAAAUUCCGUCAAUUUAAGCUCGCUUUGAUCUAAGUAUAGCCCGGAAACAAACGUCCGCGUUAUUCCGCAAGGCGGUCGGAGGCGGCGCGAUAAUAAAUGAAUUUUCCUUUUUACGCGGUGGAAAUGCUGAAAACGCUACACAGUUUCGAGUUGCACUUGUUUAACGGCGACGAAGUGCUCUGAAAAUACGACGGGGUUUAUUAUUACAUUUCGUUGCGCCUGCCAGAGUUUGGUAGUCGGCGGGUAAUUGAUUUUCUGGCUCGGCACAGGUGGAAGUCUACGUAAUAACAAUGAUAGAUCCAGUGGAUCGCGCGGGCUCUAUUAAUACGGCUUACUAAUAUCAACUGCAAACGUCUGUGCUCUCGCGGAAAUUAGUUGAGUCUCCGCCAUCUCAAUCGCGCUUCAAUAAACGGGAGCUGACAUCACAUUCGUCAUCUCGGCGACGUUGCGGGAGCAUCAGUUACGAUCCUCCACGACGACGUGACACAAAUGAUUUACACGGAGUUUUAUUUGUACGGCAAACAAGAGUGAAUACCCCGCGAUCCGAAUGUGUCAGUAUCGUGUACGAGCGGUUAUUUAUACGAGGAAGAUGCCCUACCUCCUUCCGCAUUACGCGUCGCGUCAACGGCGACACGACACGAGAUCACAAACUGGAAUAUUUAGACUGGCAGAGUCCCACGAGGGGCAUGAGGUUCGUACGGUCUAUAGAAACGGCGACGACUCGAGAAAUCGCUAUUUUAUUUAUGGGCACGUUGGAAAAAUACAUCGCGUCCACACGCAGAAGGACGCGAACGCAAGCGAAAAUAAAUUUUGCUAUAAUCGAUACGACGAAUGGCUCAAAAUCACAUUCUGUCACAAUAAUUUCUGUAAAAUUUCUGCUUAUUUUAAUAGGACUUGAGAUUUUAUACACGAUCAUGCUGUAAAUUUUAAAUGUACAUGGGUUAUUUACAUAUUGUUUACAAAAUUUUUCAUGUAGCAAUAUAAAUUAUUAAA
RNAcentral lists this long non-coding RNA (1622 nucleotides) under Monomorium pharaonis (pharaoh ant). RNAcentral's name for it is "uncharacterized LOC114254697". The record is from RNAcentral. Lineage: Eukaryota; Metazoa; Arthropoda; Insecta; Hymenoptera; Formicidae.